RNAcentral lists this ribosomal RNA (490 nucleotides) under uncultured bacterium. Its description in RNAcentral is "partial 16S ribosomal RNA". It matches the Rfam family "Bacterial small subunit ribosomal RNA", at positions 30 to 507 of the family's 1533-position model. The record is from RNAcentral.
AUUGAACGCUGGCGGCAGGCCUAACACAUGCAAGUCGAAUGGUAACAGGAAACAGCUUGCUGUUUCGCUGACGAGUGGCGGACGGGUGAGUAAUGUCUGGGAAACUGCCUGAUGGAGGGGGAUAACUACUGGAAACGGUAGCUAAUACCGCAUAACGUCUCAAGGCCAACGAGGGGGACCUUCGGGCCUCUUUCCAUCAGAUCUGCCCAGUUGGGAUUAGCUAGUAGGUGGGGUAACGGCUCACCCAGGCGACGAUCCCUAGCUGGUCUGAGAGGAUGACCAGCUACACUGUAACUGAGACACGGUCCCGACUCCUACGGGAGGCAGCAGUGGGGAAUGUUGCACAGAGGGCGCAAACCUGAUGCAGCCAUGCCGCGUGUAUGAAGAAGGACUUCGGGUUGUAAAGUUCUUGCAGCGGGGAGGAAGGGAGUAAAGUUAAUACCUUUGCACAUUGACGUUACCCGCAGAAGAAGCACCGGCUAACUCCGUG